GCCAACCACUGAUCUAGUGUAAUCAAUUAUAUCAGUAUUCAAUAUCCAUUAUAUAGCAAGCCCUAUUCAGCUAAAUGCUGGGAAACCAAAGAUGAAUAUAACAUAGAACCCACUACGGAGGAUAGAUGAGGUAAUCCUAUACAUAAAAACCUAAUAUGCUAAGUGUCUGGUGGUCCGUUCAACCAAUCAAAGCGUAAAUAUGUAAGGCCGCUCAACUGCUUGCUAUGACACGCACUGACUACCAGGGGGCAGA
This is a long non-coding RNA of Pipistrellus kuhlii (Kuhl's pipistrelle), 253 nucleotides long. RefSeq lists it as uncharacterized. Lineage: Eukaryota; Metazoa; Chordata; Mammalia; Chiroptera; Vespertilionidae. The transcript is spliced from 3 exons. The record is from RefSeq and is a predicted model, not a curated record.